Molecule: long non-coding RNA, 346 nt
Organism: Rhagoletis pomonella (apple maggot)
Lineage: Eukaryota; Metazoa; Arthropoda; Insecta; Diptera; Tephritidae
Exons: 2
Source: RefSeq, a predicted model, not a curated record
AGUAGCUAGGUCUCACUGUUGGUUUUUGUCAAUUAUUUGUAUUUGAAGGUUUCCGAUAUAGCGAUAGCGGCUAUCAUUCAUCGAUAGCGUUGUCAAAUUGACACUAUCGAUACUAUCUAUAGAGCUUUCGAUAGUUGUGCAGCUAUAUCGACCAAUGUCCGACCAUUUCAUCGACGUGUGCGUAAUCACAAAAAAGAAUUCGCCAAGCUGAAAGGUGAAUCUGAGUAACUUCCAUUCACGCGCAUUGGUCACAUACAAUUUGAGGUUUUAACAUGAUUCUCUUGGAAAUAAAUAACCGAAUCGUCGAAGAUACCCUUAUAGUCAAAUUUCGGAAUGCCCUAUCUGG